Long non-coding RNA from Ictalurus punctatus (channel catfish), 1124 nucleotides. NCBI's taxonomy places the organism in Eukaryota, Metazoa, Chordata, Actinopteri, Siluriformes, Ictaluridae. The record is from Ensembl.
CAAAGAGCAGAGAGAAUCAGAGAGGUAAAGGUGUGAGGGCAGGAAGCUCGAUGCUGAAGACAGAAGAAUAACACAGUGGAAGUUGUCCUGUGGACGAUUUAGCUCUAUUGAAGAACAUCAAUCCAGCUGUCAAAACAGCUGGUGCUCAAAUACUACUCUAUAAUGGGGCCUAACAAGCGGACCAGGACAGGCCUUUCUGCAACAUCUGGUGCCGUAAUUGGACAGCCGACUGUGACCCCCCGUUGGAUCAAAACAGGCCUUCCUUUUUUUGCUGUCCCUGCUAACAGAAUCCAGACCCUGGACUCGCACUACAAUUUCCAGCGCUGUGAGAACGGCCGGCUACGCUAACGACGCGGCCGGCGUGGGGGUCAGUGCUAGAAUAAUGACCUCGGCAGCCUCACACUUUGUCCAAUUAAACUGCAGAACACUUCAAAAGGUCAGACCUUCAUCCCAGCAAGGAACACUGGAGAGGGAAGAAAAGCAUAGAGGAACUGAAGAACCCCUCUUUAAUAGUUUAGGACUGUGCAGGGCGUAUUUAGGUUUCUAAUAAUGGGGCAAUGGCGUGUGUGGCUGGUGUGUGUAUAAAGGUUUUUUUAUAGGGGGCAUAAAGAGGGUAAUAGGGCUUUGAGGGUUGGAAUUUGUCAGUAGUAAGGUCUAGUCUAAUGACAGUCUCUCUUAACUCUAUAGGAAUUCCUUGUAUAACUUCAGUCUGUCAGGAUUAACAAUUCUGCCGCAGGAUAUUUGAGAAGUUUCACAAGCGGGAACUUGAGAGGCUAAAAGUGAAAAAUGUUGCAGUUAGUUUGACCAUAAUUAAACAGUUUAUGGAACACAGCAGCCAGACUUGUUUGAGUUGCUGUGAGUUAAUUUAUGCUUUUUCAUAUCCUUAAGUUAAUUAGAAUGUAUCAAACUCAACAAGCCAUAGGUACAAGUAAAAAAUACUAGCCUUUUUUACCACCAAAGACAGAACAGCAUCCCUAAAGCACUGUCACUGCUAUAUCCCAGGCACACACACUUAGUUUUAUGUAAUGUCAGAAGAAAAGUUGGAGCACGAGUGAAGUACAGCUUACUUCUUCUGUAGCACAUGAACCAAUGUCAUCAAUGUCAUCAAUGUCAUCAUUGGCAAA